Molecule: ribosomal RNA, 612 nt
Filed under: Blastocystis sp.
Lineage: Eukaryota; Bigyra; Opalinata; Blastocystidae
Description: SSU rRNA
Rfam family: Eukaryotic small subunit ribosomal RNA
Source: RNAcentral
AUCUGGUUGAUCCUGCCAGUAGUCAUACGCUCGUCUCAAAGAUUAAGCCAUGCAUGUGUAAGUAUAAAUAAUUCUACUUUGAAACUGCGAAUGGCUCAUUAUAUCAGUUAUAGUUUAUUAGAAAUAAUUUACUACUUGGAUAACCGUAGUAAUUCUAGGGCUAAUACAUGAGUAAAUCCUCGACUUUGAAGAGGUGUGUUUAUUAGUAUGAAAACCAUAUGCUUUUGCAUAAUAGUGAGUAAUAAUAACCUUUCAUAUCGUAUGUUGUAAUAACGAUAGUUCUUUCAAGUUUCUGCCCUAUCAGCUUUCGAUGGUAGUGCAUUGGACUACCAUGGCAGUAACGGGUAACGAAGAAUUUGGGUUCGAUUUCGGAGAGGGAGCCUGAGAGAUGGCUACCACAUCCAAGGAAGGCAGCAGGCGCGUAAAUUACCCAAUCCUGACAUAGGGAGGUAGUGACAAUAAAUCACAAUGCGGGACUUUUAGUUUUGCAAUUGGAUUGAGAACAAUGUAAAAGAGUUAUCGAUAAACAAUUGGAGGGCAAGUCUGGUGCCAGCAGCCGCGGUAAUUCCAGCUCCAAUAGCGUAUAUUAACGUUGUUGCAGUUAAAAAGCUC